UACAGAGGGGGCAAGCGUUAUUCGGAAUUAUUGGGCGUAAAGGGCGCGUAGGCGGCGAUUCAAGUGACGGGUGAAAUCCCUCGGCUUAACCGAGGAACUGCCUGUCAGACUGGAUUGCUUGAGGCCGGGAGAGGCGAGUGGAAUUCCCAGUGUAGCGGUGAAAUGCGUAGAUAUUGGGAGGAACACCAGUGGCGAAGGCGACUCGCUGGACCGGUCCUGACGCUGAGGCGCGAAAGCGUGGGGAGCAAACCGG
This 253-nucleotide ribosomal RNA is filed under the name uncultured bacterium. RNAcentral describes it as "partial 16S ribosomal RNA". It matches the Rfam family "Bacterial small subunit ribosomal RNA", at positions 524 to 776 of the family's 1533-position model. The record is from RNAcentral.